UACGUAGGGCGCGAGCGUUGUCCGGAUUUAUUGGGCGUAAAGAGCUCGUAGGCGGCUUGUCGCGUCGAAUGUGAAAUCUCAGGGCUCAACUCUGACAUUGCAUUCGAUACGGGCAGGCUAGAGUUCGGUAGGGGAGACUGGAAUUCCUGGUGUAGCGGUGAAAUGCGCAGAUAUCAGGAGGAACACCGGUGGCGAAGGCGGCCAUCUGGGAGGGCACUGACGCUGAGACGCGAAAGCGUGGGGAGCAAACAGG
RNAcentral lists this ribosomal RNA (253 nucleotides) under uncultured bacterium. RNAcentral describes it as "partial 16S ribosomal RNA". It matches the Rfam family "Bacterial small subunit ribosomal RNA", at positions 524 to 776 of the family's 1533-position model. The record is from RNAcentral.